GCGUUGAUGGUGUAGCGGUAACAUUGGGUCUUCCCAUGGCCUAGCUCCGGGUUCGACUCCCGGUCAACGCA
Molecule: non-coding RNA, 71 nt
Organism: Jaapia argillacea MUCL 33604
Lineage: Eukaryota; Fungi; Basidiomycota; Agaricomycetes; Jaapiales; Jaapiaceae
Source: the annotation of a GenBank genome assembly